AUACUUUUUGUGAUUCAUAAAUGUGAGUUCUCAUGUCACUGUGAGGGAUAGGCUUCUCCCAAACUGUGUUAAAAUGUCAGGACAUUACCUGUCUGAUA
Rattus norvegicus (Norway rat) is the source of this 98-nucleotide small nucleolar RNA. Ensembl annotates it as small nucleolar RNA U13. NCBI's taxonomy places the organism in Eukaryota, Metazoa, Chordata, Mammalia, Rodentia, Muridae. The record is from Ensembl.